AUGGCGAGAAGCCGACAGUCCAUGCUCCUGGCCUUCGCCGUCGGGGCAAUGGCGGCGGUGCUGCUGGCAUCCCCGGCGGCGGCCAAGAGCUACAACAUCACCAAGAUCCUGGCGGCGCACCCGGAGUUCUCCAAGUUCAACGCGAUGCUGAGCAAGACGCGGCUCGCGUCCGACAUCAACCGGCGCCAGACCAUCACCGUGCUGGCCCUGGACAACUCGGCCAUGGCGGCGCUGGACCACUACACGCUGCCCACCGUCCGCCACAUUCUGUCCCUGCACGUCCUCGUCGACUACUACGGCAACAAGAAGCUCAAGCAGCUCUCGCGCGGCGCCACCGCCUCCGCAUCCAUGUUCCAGUCUACCGGGACGGCGUCGGGCAUGUCGGGCUACGUGAACAUCACGUCCCACAAGGGUGGCAAGGUGGAGUUCGUCAGCCAGGACGCCGACGACACCGUCAAGCCGUCCCGGUACGUCAAGUCCAUCAAGGAGAUCCCCUACGACAUCUCGGUGCUCGAGAUCAACUCCGUGCUCUCCUCCUCCGAGGCCGAGGCGCCCGUCCCGCCGCCGGCGCCGGUCGACCUCAUCGAGCUCCUCUCCAAGAAGCACUGCAAGUCGUUCGCCGGGCUCAUCUCCGGCAACGCCGACGUCUUCCGCACGCUCAACGAGACCAAGGACAACGGCCUCACCCUCUUCUGCCCCGUCGACGCCGCCGUGGCCGCCUUCAUGCCCAAGUACAAGAACCUCACGGCCAAGGCCAAGACGGCCAUCCUGCUCUACCACGGCGUGCCGGACUACUUCUCGCUGCAGCUGCUCAAGUCCAACAACGGCAUGGUCUCCACGCUCGCCACCACCAGCGAGGUCAAGAAGGACUACAGCUACGACGUGCAGAACGACGACGAGAAGGUCACCCUCGUCACCAAGGUCGUCACCUCCACCGUCACCGCCACCGUCGGCGACAGCGAGCCGCUCGCCGUCUACGCCGUCUCCAAGUUCUUGAAGCCAAAGGAGCUGUUCAAGGUCGCCCAGGCGCCAACGCCCGCCCCGUCAAAGAAGGGCAAGAAGGAGGCUGGCGACGACGACGACUCGUCUGACGACGAAGAUUCCGAUGAUGCCACCACUGAUAAGGGUGAUGCCGCGCCAGCGGUAUACGGGCGAUGGGCGACCGCGGCUGCGACGGCGGGAGCAGUAUUGGCAUUGUUGAUGGGCUAA
Molecule: ribosomal RNA, 1209 nt
Filed under: Triticum aestivum (bread wheat)
Lineage: Eukaryota; Viridiplantae; Streptophyta; Magnoliopsida; Poales; Poaceae
Description: partial small subunit ribosomal RNA
Source: RNAcentral